Molecule: RNA transcript, 6314 nt
Organism: Symphalangus syndactylus (siamang)
Lineage: Eukaryota; Metazoa; Chordata; Mammalia; Primates; Hylobatidae
Gene: SP6
Gene name: Sp6 transcription factor
Source: RefSeq, a predicted model, not a curated record
CUCUUGCAGCUCAGGCGGGGCGGAGGAUGUGUCCCGGGGGCUUGAGAGGAGUAGUCAGUAUUAAGUGGAUGGCCCACAGUAGGUGCCUGUAGGCGAGCUUAGGGCAGGAAGUACCCGCUGGGAAGGGAGACUAGUGGAAUGGGAAAAGAAAAAAGGAAAAUGGAAUUAGGGGCCAGACUCUGAGGCAAGGUGAUGGGGACACAUAGAGAAAAGGGUAAUCUGGUUGUGGGGAGAAAUUAGGGCAUGAGAGUGGGAGAGGUUGAAAUGACUUGUGGACCAUGCCCCGAGUGGGGAGGUGCAGUGGGGUGAGGAAGAGACGGGGAGGUGAGAAGGAAGAUGGCUGAAUGGGAAGGGAGAAGAAGGAAAUUUGAGACCAAGGUAUCCCAGACCAGAGUGGUUUUCCUCUUCUAGUUUUGUUUUUGUUUUGUUUUGUUUUGUUUGAGACGGAGACUAGCUCUGUUGCUCAGGUUGGAGUGCAGUGGCGCGAUCUCGGCUCACUGCAACCUCCACCUCCCGGGUUCAAGCAAUUCUCUGCCUCAGCCUCCCGGGUAGCUGGGAAUACAGGCGCCCGCCACCACGCCUGGCUAAGUUUUGUAUUUUUAGUAGAGACGGGGUUUCACCAUGUUGGCCAGGCUAGUCUCAAACUCCUGAUCUCAAGUGAUCCACCUGCCUCGGCCUCCCAAAGUGCUGGGAUUAUAGGCGUGAGCCACCGCGCCCACCACCUCUUCUAGUUUUAAACCCCUUCCCUCCAGCCUCAUUUAUUUAAGCAAGGGUCAGAGAGUUUUACUCCCUUUGCUCAUGGUUUCCCCUGCCAUGGUGCACUGGAGUUCAUAGGAGCCAGUGUCCUAGUAGAUGGCAAGGCUGCCAAUGUCCUGUCUCUCCAGGGUCUCCCCCAUCUUUGUCAAGCUUCCCUUUUUCCACAUUUUGCCCAUGCUAGAUAGUAGGAGUCUAGCCCCUAGGUCAAUGCAAGCAAUUGCCAACUGAGAGUACACGGAGCAGGUGCUGUGCAUAGCCUUUCCAGGCUAUGGAUGCAAGGCUGAAAAAUGGGAAACCCACUCGUGCCCAGUCCAAUUCUGAGCUGGCUGGGGCAGCCUUGGGUCGAGACCUCUCUGUAGCCCUGCUUUCCACCAGCAUCAGGAAGGGGAACUGCAAGAGCCAUCUAGGCAGGCACCCAGGACUGUGCCAGGGAAGACCUGGGUUUUAGUUCUGUCUCCAUCAACCUCAAGAUAUGGGACCUCAUGGAAGGGAGGGGAGGCCAAUGCCGAGGACAUGCUCCUGAGCAGGUGCCACAAUUCUUCACCUGUAAGGGUUUUGGAUGGAUACAUCAAGAGCAUGGUAUACACCAGGCUGAUCUAAGAAGAUUCCUCAUUAUCAACUGGGAGCAGAGAUAUUCCACUUCCAAUUACAUGGCCCUGCCUGCUCACUCUUACUUCCUAUUCACUCUCUCGGAGGCCACUUUGUGAUUCUACCAAAUCCUAUAGGAGAGGUGACAACCCCAAAGAGAAGGCUCUAGAAAGAUGACAUUUGGAAAUGUGUAUGCUAGUGUCUGCUGGCUCCUCUUGGGCCACUUUUACUCUGUGAUUGAGAUGAAAGGCCAUCUAACUGCCUAAAUCACCACAAAGGGACAAACUGGUAUCUCAGAGCACUCAGCAACAAAAACAAGCAAGCUAAGCCUCUGCACUGCAAUGUGGCAGGGCUUCUGGCUAGGUAUAGCAAGCAAUUCUGAUGUGGAGACAAACAGCAGCAAUGGGAAUGAUAUGCCAAUGAAGGAUUCCAACAGUUGGGUCUGCAAGCAUGCUUGUCCUGUGACACAAACAGCCUAGACAUCUCAGCACUGCUUGGAGCUGCUCAUUGGGGGAGCCUAAGAAACAUCAGCCCUUUCACAACCCCUUGCUCCUGAGCAGAGCUCAUCUCCCAAGAGCACAUCAGCCCGCAGCUCACUCUGACGAGAAGCACAGUAUUCCCGUGCCAGUGGCAGCCUCAGAGCAUCCGGAAAGAGCGCUUCCUAGACACGCAGUGGAAGCCAUGACUUCCCCUAAUCUGCUAGUGCUGCCUCUGAACUCAUGUGGAGGUUCUUUUUCCAGUGUCCCCAGAGGCAGCAGAAAAACCCGUUUUCCAUUUUGGAAUCUAUCAAGUAGGACAAAUCCGCCACCUGGGAGCAUCUCCUCAAGGGCAAUCUCUACUCCCUUUUCUACAUAGCCUGACAAUACCCUCAAGUUAGAAAUGUCCAUGUUGGCUAGGCACAGUGGCUCAUGCCUGUAAUCCCAGCACUUUGGGAGGCUGAGGUGGGAGGAUUGCUUGAGGCCAGGAGUUUGAAACCAGCCUGGCAUUGAGAGACUAUGCCUCUAUUAUUUAAAAAAAAAGAAAUGUCUCAUAUUUUUACCCUCUUCACUCAUCUUUCCACCUUGCUCCAAUAGAUUGCUGACAGAAAAGUGAGACCUCCUCCACCCCAAGGUCUCCUAAAAGAAUGCUGCUAGCCAAAAAAAGAUCUGCUGAUAAUUGAGGAAGAGCAUCUUUAAAAAGACACUCAACUACAUUUCAGGAACAUAAAAAUCUAAGAGUUGGCUAUAUGAGGGAAGAAAUUAAGAGAAAGAACUUUUUUUUCCUCCUACAACAGGUCUAGAUAACGUCAUACAAGGAGUUGCACGCAUAUCCAAAACAAAAGCAAGGCAAAAACAAGCAAAAAAGCAACAAAUGUAUUCCAAAAUGAUGUCCAUUUCUCAGCCCAGAAAUGUACUGGAUACUGGUUUAGUUCAGCCUGUAGGGGCUGGGAAGAAAUUCACAAAUCCAAGUCAGUUGCAAAAAGGGAAAACUCCAGACAUAUCACCCAAUGAACUUGUAAGAAAGUAUAUGAGCUUCCCUGAACAGAUUUUACCCCAGGUUUGCAGCCCACAAGGUUUAAGAUCGGGCCAUGAGGUUAAAUCUUGUAAACUCAGAAGUGUUCAUGCUACUGCAUCCCUAAACUUUGUAAUUCUCUACAUACCCUUUAAAGCAGUGUUUCUCUGCAUCUUUCAUUCCGUAGCCAUUGUCCACCUGAUCCAAAAUAUCCUAAAUUUUUCAGUGUUUGGAAGCAGGGUUUCCAAUUUUUGUGUAUACAGAAAAGGGGGGGUGUGUGAAAAAAUAAGUAUUAGAAAAAGAACAUGUUACAUAUCUAUCACAGAAAUGAGUGGGCAAGGUUUAGAAGAUGGCUGAAACAAAGCCAAUACUAAGGUCUACUGGUUGGCUGCAACAAGUUUAAAAUGUCUUCAUAAGGGCCCUGGUUGGGCAAUACUAUACUUGCUGACAGUACACUUGGGAACUGCCACAGACCUAUAGCAAAAGACUGUUCAACUUCUCCAAAAAGCUGGUAUUAACCACCAGAAGAAAUAAGUUCAAGGCCAAAAUAUCCAAAUGAACCAACCACUCUACUUGCUGAAAUGCCAUAAAGCUUCUUUACCCCAGACAUUUGCCCAAAUCUCAUAAUUUCUUUUCUCCUCUCUGACAGGCCUCCAGAGGCCCAAACUUUAAUAGAAUCUGAGAGAAAAAAGUGGCCAGUCUAUCUGCUGUCCAGAGUGAUGCCAAACUCUUUCUCCCGGAGCCAGUUCUCCCCGUUGCGCAGUCAGGUGAGGAUCCGAUUAUUAACAAACUCUACUUGGGUCUCCUUGGCAAAGAGUUUCUGGCUUCAGCAGCCUAGCUCAGGGGGGUUCAUAAUUAUGUCAGACUCCCUUUUUUCUUGUAGUUGCUUUUAACCAAAGAGGUUAAGCCUCUGUACAACCAAGAGGAAGAACUAGAAUUAGAAAACUUACCAAUCGUCCCAGCCAAUGAUAAUCCAUUUCCAACAGGUAUUAACGCCUGUUAGAAGCCAUUGGAACAUUGACAUCAUCAGCCCAAUUGAUAGGUUGUCUGAUAGAUUCGCCCCCUUCAUCGCACACAAGAAUUUAAAACAAAACAAGACACUGCAGUUAUAUUCAUUAUUGCAGACAAUGGGUUUCUUUGUGUUUGUAAUUGAAAUUACUGCUGUGGUCUGGACUCCACCAUUAUUCCCUUCGCAGCCUGUGAGCUAACCAACACUCUAAACUUUCUAGCCCUAAAAAUUGCAUCAUCCAGAAUACCAACUCAAUACAGCCCUCCACUGUGAAACUGAAUGCCUUCUGGGGUGCAGCAUGAAACAGUUUUAGACAGUGCAUGCCAGUGCACCUUGAAACAGUGUCCAUCUGUAAUGAAAUCUGUAAACGGGAAACUUGGGCCAAUUCAUUGUUUAAAGCAGAUCUACUGGCUCAUACCUUUCUCUAGAAACAAUAAGUGAACAAGAAGUAACCUCAGAAGAAGAAAGAACUUUGGGAGAACGCACUGAGAAAGGCCAGACUGAGUCCCCUUGGAUGAAAUUAAUUAAGAAACAAACAUGACAGGAUAUUGCAAUCAAAACCAAGGAAUGCAGUGAGGACAGGUUUCUCAGUUGCCCAGGUUUCUCAGAGGAGAAAACAUAGUUCCUUUUGAACUAAAAUUAGAAAGCCGCUGGGAAGGAAACAUAGGAAGCAUGGGUAAGAGACUGAAAACCGUAAGUCAGCAAUGGGGAUGGAGGUGGGUGGAGGAGGAGAGCAAGUAUCUAUUUUGUUUUAUUUCUUCUGUAAUUCCUUAAGAUUGUUUGCGCCUGAGCUUUGGGACUGCAGUAGUCUCCCCCACGGGGCGUCAGGUAACAGGCUGGGAGCUCUGGCAAGAAGUUCUCAAACUUCUCACAAUUCUGCUAAGAGCUUGCAGAUAUCUGGCUGGAAGAUCAAGGACCCAAGUGAAAAUAUUAAAGGAAGGUUUUUGCCUACUCCCCAGUGAGAGGUCAUCUGCCCAGGGAGUGCCCUCGUGUCCUGACACCAUCGCCCGACUGGGAUACAUCAGUAACCGUGCUGUCGUCGAUGCCGAGCAGUGCCCAUCUGGUUGGCAGCGUCCGGAUCUCAAGCGUUCCCUCGCCCCUCUCUGUACUCCGGGGAGCCCUGAAUCGCUGGUGGGCAUCUACUGUUAAAGAGUGCAGGAAGGCCUCUCAGACACGGGGCGAACACGAGGGCUGUUGGCUGCCUCUUCGGAGUCGACCCAGGCAUAGUCCGCCCAGGCGGGAGAGCGGCGCUGAGGUGGGUCGGCACUCGUCUGAGGGGUGCCAGGCCACCCCGGUGCCCGCUCCUCUCACCGGCCCCCGGAAGCGCCGCCCUCCCGCCCGGCGGGCUCCGAGGGGGCGGGGAGUCGAACGCCCCCUUCCGGGUGCCUCCGCCCGGCUGGCCAGCCCCGCUCCUCCUCCGGGCGGGAAUCCUCCCUCCCCCGCCCCUCCUGAAGCCGGGCCCCGGCGCCAGGCCCGGCCCCAGGGGGGAACCCCCGGCCUCGGCUCCCUCUCCCCGCGGCCUCUGCCCGUCUUCCCGACCCUUGGGGGCCGGGAAGACCCCGCCGGCAGCGGCCGGGACCCACCGCUCAUUACGACAUCUUCCUCCCUGGCCUCCGCCGCCUCCGCCGCCACCGAGAGCCUGACACCGCCCGCCAAGCACCCGCCAAUCCCGGAGCCCGCCACCGCCCGAGCGACGGCAGCCUUCACCAAUAAGUGCUUGGAACAUUGGGGACCGACAGCACUAUUAGCCAAUCAACCAGAGGCGUCUAGAGCGACGUUGAUUUGACCAAUAGGAUUGUCCUCAUCUAAUCCGUCAGUACCAGACAGUGAACAUCUCUCCCCCAGGAUGUUGAGAUGUGGAACUACAGCCUCUGCUCUCAAGAAGCUCAGAUCUGGGCAGGGAACAUCAUACACCAGGGCUGUCGGGGGGUGGAGGGCUGGGGGACGGAUAGGAUUAGGAGAAAUAUCUAAUGUAAAUGACAAGUUGAUGGGUGCAGCAAACCAACAUGGCACAUGUAUACCUAUGUAACAAACCUGCACGUUGUGCACAUAUACCCUAGAACUUAAAGUAUAAUUAAAAAAAAAAAAAAAGCUUCAGAUCCCUCCUGUAGCCUCCUAUGAAACUUAGAGUAUAAUUAAAAAAAAAAAAAAAAAAAAAAAGCUUCAGAUCCCUCCUGGAGCCUCCUAUGAAACCACAUGGCAUAGCUGGUGCUGUUGGUCCAGAAACUAGAAGAAUAUCAGGCCAGCCCCCUUGACUCUCUGUUGGUCCUCACUCAUAGCUACAACCCAAGCUGUAUUGUUGGUGUUUAUCUUUUGAAGAGUUACAGCCGACCCAGCCUUCUAAAGACUGCUUGUUUUGCCUUAAGGAUUUCCCAGUAACCUCUGCUUCUCCCUUUUCCCUCCUAUGGUUUUCUAUUUUCUCAUCUCUUCCCUUUCUACCUAUGGGGAAAUCAAAAUUGUAGACUUUUUU